AACGAACGCUGGCGGCAGGCCUAACACAUGCAAGUCGAACGCCCUAGCAAUAGGGAGUGGCAGACGGGUGAGUAACACGUGGGAACCUUCCCUAUAGUACGGAAUAUACCAGGGAAACUUGGAGCAAUACCGUAUACGCCCGAGAGGGGAAAGAUUUAUCGCUAUAGGAUGGGCCCGCGUAGGAUUAGCUAGUUGGUGAGGUAAUGGCUCACCAAGGCGACGAUCCUUAGCUGGUUUGAGAGAACGACCAGCCACACUGGGACUGAGACACGGCCCAGACUCCUACGGGAGGCAGCAGUGGGGAAUAUUGGACAAUGGGCGAAAGCCUGAUCCAGCCAUGCCGCGUGAGUGAAGAAGGCCUUAGGGUUGUAAAGCUCUUUCAGCGGGAAGAUAAUGACGGUACCCGCAGAAGAAGCCCCGG
This 421-nucleotide ribosomal RNA is filed under the name uncultured bacterium. RNAcentral describes it as "bacterial SSU rRNA". It matches the Rfam family "Bacterial small subunit ribosomal RNA", at positions 29 to 496 of the family's 1533-position model. The record is from RNAcentral.